Molecule: ribosomal RNA, 375 nt
Filed under: Eimeria ahsata
Lineage: Eukaryota; Apicomplexa; Conoidasida; Eucoccidiorida; Eimeriidae
Description: SSU rRNA
Rfam family: Eukaryotic small subunit ribosomal RNA
Source: RNAcentral
UCUGUAAUUGGAAUGAUGGGAAUGUAAAACCCUUCCAGAGUAACAAUUGGAGGGCAAGUCUGGUGCCAGCAGCCGCGGUAAUUCCAGCUCCAAUAGUGUAUAUUAGAGUUGUUGCAGUUAAAAAGCUCGUAGUUGGAUUUCUGCUGUGGUCAUCCGGUACCGCCCGUAUGGGUGCGCACCUGGUUUGGCUGCGGCUUUCUUCCUGUAGCCGUCCGCGCUUAAUUGCGCGUGCUGUGUUACGGAACUUUUACUUUGAGAAAAAUAGAGUGUUUCAAGCAGGCUUGUCGCCCUGAAUACUUCAGCAUGGAAUAAUAGGAUAGGACCUUGGUUCUAUUUUGUUGGUUUCUAGGACCAAGGUAAUGAUUAAUAGGGACA